This 1173-nucleotide ribosomal RNA is filed under the name uncultured bacterium. RNAcentral describes it as "bacterial SSU rRNA". It matches the Rfam family "Bacterial small subunit ribosomal RNA", at positions 8 to 1146 of the family's 1533-position model. The record is from RNAcentral.
GAGAGUUUGAUCCUGGCUCAGGACGAACGCUGGCGGCGUGCUUAACACAUGCAAGUCGAACGCAAGGACGGAAAGAGCUUGCUCUUUUCAGAAUUGAGUGGCAAACGGGUGAGUAACACGUAAACAACCUGCCUUCAGGAUGGGGACAACAGACGGAAACGACUGCUAAUACCGAAUAAGUUCCAAGAGCCGCAUGGCCCAUGGAAGAAAAGGUGGCCUCUACCUGUAAGCUAUCGCCUGAAGAGGGGUUUGCGUCUGAUUAGCUGGUUGGAGGGGUAACGGCCCACCAAGGCGACGAUCAGUAGCCGGUCUGAGAGGAUGAACGGCCACACUGGAACUGAGACACGGUCCAGACUCCUACGGGAGGCAGCAGUGGGGAAUCUUCCGCAAUGGGCGAAAGCCUGACGGAGCAACGCCGCGUGAGUGAUGACGGCCUUCGGGUUGUAAAACUCUGUGAUCCGGGACGAAAAGGCAGAGUGCGAAGAACAAACUGCAUUGACGGUACCGGAAAAGCAAGCCACGGCUAACUACGUGCCAGCAGCCGCGGUAAUACGUAGGUGGCAAGCGUUGUCCGGAAUUAUUGGGCGUAAAGCGCGCGCAGGCGGCUUCCCAAGUCCCUCUUAAAAGUGCGGGGCUUAACCCCGUGAUGGGAAGGAAACUGGGAAGCUGGAGUAUCGGAGAGGAAAGUGGAAUUCCUAGUGUAGCGGUGAAAUGCGUAGAGAUUAGGAAGAACACCGGUGGCGAAGGCGACUUUCUGGACGAAAACUGACGCUGAGGCGCGAAAGCGUGGGAGCAAACAGGAUUAGAUACCCUGGUAGUCCACGCCGUAAACGAUGGAUACUAGUGUAGGAGGUAUCAACCCUCUGUGCCGAGUUAACGCAUAAGUAUCCCGCCUGGGAGUACGAUCGCAGAUUAAACUCAAGGAUGACGGGGCCGCACAGCGUGAGUAUGUGUUAUCGACGCACGCGAGACUUACCAGUCUGACUGAUCGCGAUCUGCAAUGCGGGUUCUUCUCGAGACGAGAAAACAGUGUGCACGCUGUCGUCAGCUCGGGUCUGGGAUGUUGAGUAGUCCGCACGAGGCACCAUAUCAUUUGUGUGCGAUCGUAAGGUGGUACUAAUUGACUGCGCGGCAACUCGAUAAAGCGUUACACUCGAGUACUCUGUGCGCCUC